Molecule: non-coding RNA, 46 nt
Organism: Chlorocebus sabaeus (green monkey)
Lineage: Eukaryota; Metazoa; Chordata; Mammalia; Primates; Cercopithecidae
Source: Rfam
CAACAGGUUCUCUUUGGAACCACACUUUGUGCUUAUAACUUUUACU